This 1107-nucleotide long non-coding RNA is filed under the name Sus scrofa (pig). RNAcentral describes it as "lncRNA (ENSSSCG00005041485.1)". Lineage: Eukaryota; Metazoa; Chordata; Mammalia; Artiodactyla; Suidae. The record is from RNAcentral.
CUGCCCCGCCCCCAGCCACGUGAUCGUGUUGGUGAUUGAUGCUGACGUGCUGGUGCUGUGUCCCCCACCCGGGCCCCUCUUCAGUGGCCCCUUCCUGGAGACACUACCUGGGGCUCAGGCCUGGGCCCCCAGUUCACGGUUGUUCCUGGGAGCUGCUCUCCCGCUACAUCUGUACCUUGGAAGCUGCCGCUGCUGCUUACAGAAUUCUAUUUUUUCUUUCGAAGAGUUUUAAGAAGUUGUAACUUUUUGUGUCUGGUCAUGUAAGGAGAUAAAUAAAUAUUCUACGUAGAUGCCUCUAAUCUGAGACUUUGUUUGGGGUGAGGAAGGGACAGGCAGCCCCCUCUUCCAGUAACUGGGUGUCCUCCCGCCCCAGGUCGUCUGCCGCCCACGGAUCCGCCCUUGGGCCUGGAACGAGUCUUCCGGACUCCCUCGCGAUCUGGGCUGGGGGUGUGGGGAAGCCAGGCUCAGCUGCUCACCUUCCUGACCCUGAGCCGCCCUUGGGAUCAAAAGUGGUGCUGGAAGGAGUUGCGGUUGUGGUUAGGCGGUUAAUGAACCCGGCUAGCAUCCGUGAGGACGCGGGUUCGAUCCCUGGCCCGGCUCAGUGGGUUGGGGAUCUGGCAUUGCCGUGAGCUGUGGUGUAGGCUCGGAUCCAGCGUUGCUGUGGCUCUGGUGUAGGCCUGUGGCUACAUCUCUGAUUGGACCCCUAGCCUGGGAACCUCCAUAUGCUGCGGGAGCGGCCCUAGGAAAGGCAAAAAGACAAAAAAAAAAAAAAAAAAAAAAAAGGGUGGUGCUGGGUUUGGAGGCUGUAGAGGUCCCGGCCAGCCCGGGGCGCUGUGGCGGCCAAGAGCAGGAGGGCGGAGCCAGUGCUCAGGAGGUCUCCGCCCCGCAGUCUGCGUCGGGAGCAGUGCCUUGUGGGAAACUCCUAGUCCUUAACAUCCGCAGCCCCUGUCCGCCGCCCUCCGUGGUCCCGCAGAGAGGCAGAGAGGGCGCUGCGCCGAGGUGGGAGCGCCGGGAGCAGCAGCGUAAGGCGGCCAUAGAAUGCCCAGGGCCUCGCUGUCCUGAGCGGUCCUGAUCCAGACGCCUGCCCGUCCCGCACACGCCUCGCCG